Long non-coding RNA from Papaver somniferum (opium poppy), 3995 nucleotides. RefSeq lists it as uncharacterized. The record is from RefSeq and is a predicted model, not a curated record. The transcript is spliced from 8 exons. Lineage: Eukaryota; Viridiplantae; Streptophyta; Magnoliopsida; Ranunculales; Papaveraceae.
AAACCAAAAAGAAAAAGAAAAACCCACAAAAACCUAACCUAAUCUGCACUCGCGUCUCUCCGCCUCCCGAAUCUCCCUACUCUCUUCUCUGUUAUGAAACCCUAAACGGCCAAGAGAAUUCUUCUUCUUUAUGUUUCCAGCGGCAAGAAAAUUUGACAAGGUAAUACCGUUUCGUUUAUUAUAUCAGUUUGUUUUGGGUUUAUUCUUGACAACAGAAUCAAUCACUUGAAGUUUACAUUAUUCGGGUGAUAACAAGAGAUGGGGUUCUCUCGCGAUUACAGGUGUUUUAAUAAGGGUUGGUGCCUAUCCAAUAAAAGUCUGAGAAUAGUGAUUAUAUCGAGAUAUCUCAUGUAUCCACUAUAGAAUGCAUCCACUGUAGAGGAACCUAUUAUCCAUUUGUUAUGAAAUUGCAGGAAAGAUGUGGGUCUAAUUGUGUCCUUAACUAAUGUCUUUGUUAGAACCAUUUUCCCGUUUGAAUAUCUUAUCAAAUGGUUCCAUUCUUGCGUAGGUAUUCAGAUUGAUCUUUUGUUAUACGUUAGUUGUUGAACACUACAUAAAGGAUUUUGUACAGGUUAUGGGAUGGAUGCUCUCCAGCAUGUGGUGGUGUUCUUGGCGCAGAAGCUAGGAACCUUAUUUUUUUGGAUCUAUGAAGUUGCAGCUCAGAUUGGAUGGAUGAUUCUUCAAUGUAACUAUCUACUUUCAUUUUGUCCAGCCGAAAAUCAAAUACAUUUAUAUUUUAUAGUUGCAAUAGGUUAAUUGGUCAGGUUACGACUCCAAAUGGUGAUCAUGGAUUCCAUGGAACCUCAAGAUUUGGUGCUGAGGUACUUAUGAGAGCUCUCUUUGCUGGAAUGUGCAUACUCUAGAUUUGAAAGAGAUACUACAAGUCUAGAACAUGCGCUUGCAGAUAUUCCUUUAGGAGAGUCCAUGAAGCGCGCCCUAAAAUACAUUUUUUUUUUCUUUUGUAUUGUCUGCACCAAAAGAACAAACGAGAAAAGAAAUUGGACGAGCUAACAAGAUUAAAUUAAAGAUUAGGUAAUAUUCUAUUUUGUGCAUCUGUUUGUGUUCAAUGUUUUUCGUUGGCUAAUAAAAUUUUUCAUUUUUGAUGAAUGAGAGGGCCAAUGGAAAUCAUAAGCAAGAAAUCUAUGGGAGGUUUAAGGAGGUAAUUCAAGUUCCUGAAAAGAUUAGGUAAUAUUGUAUUUUGUGCAUCUGUUUGUGUUCAAUGAAUUCCGUUGGCUAAUAAAUUUUUUCAUUUUUGAUGAAUGAGAGGGCCAAUGGAAAUCAUAAGCAGGAAAUGCAUGGGGAGGUUUAAGGAGAGUGGACCUCAGCGCUAUUGUGGAUAUCUGCAGCUUUUAAACUGUAAGUUGUUUACCAGGUAGAACUUAUUUUGGUAUUCGCUGCUUUUCCAAAGAAAUAAGGCGCGCAUAUCUGUGGAGCAGCUUGGCAAAUGAAAUGAAGAAGCCGUGUGUCAUAUUAAGGAGUAAGUUCAAAUGCCUAUAGGCAUCUGUUUCUAUUUACUCUUCUAUGGUUAGAGGGUCACUUUCUAAACCUAAUGUUCUUUAGGGUUCAUAUAUACAUUUAACUAGAGCUGGCAAACGGGCGGGACGGGGCUUGCCCGUUACGGGUUUCACGGGUUCGGGUUAAUACGGGUUGAAAUUCUUCACGGGUUGUCAUUUCUUCAACCCGUGCCCGUAACGGGUUGAACCCGCGGGUUCAUGGGUUAGCCCGCCCGUUUCAGAACUGAAGAUAAGGAAUUCACAUUGUUGCAGGUGAAGAAACAAGAACAGAUUUUCUAGAACAAUGCAAGAACAUGGGAAUCAAUGAUCAAGAAAAUUGAAAAACUUAACAACAGAUUAAUAGUUCAUUAGUUUGGCAGUGCCAAUGUUGUACCUUAAAAGGAACACAACACACAACACAAUUACACUUGCAGUCACAGUUCAACAAAGAAAAAUACCCUUUGAGAAUCGAGACCGUAGUAACUAGUAAUACCAUACCAUAGUUCCUGCACAAAAUAUAUAUUGUGGUUAAACCAAAAACUGAUAACUGUCCAAAAAAACAUCUCCAAUCUCUCUUCUAUACAAAAUUUGGAGAAACUGUGUGAUAACUGUCUGUCCAAAAAACAAUCUGUCUAAAGAACAUUCUCAUUUUCCAUGUCUAUAUUUGAGUUGCUCCAACUAAUCAUAAUGAAUCUGUCAUUUCAAGCAAAAAUAAAUCAAACAAAAGAAAAGAAACAAGUCAAAACAUGGAAUUUGCAUAUUUACCUUGAUUUAUAUUGAAGAAGUAUGCAACUACGCAUACUAAUUAGACGCAUAAGAACUUACUUUGCCAUCCUCCCCUACCUCAUCCUCCACUGCACCAACUUCAAAUCCUAAUACAUCUUCUCCAAUAAUCCCAUUUUUCUCAUCCAAAUCUGCUUUUCCUACAUGGAUAAAAACAAUCAAAGUUAAUAUGAAAUUCAGACAUUCAACUAAAUGCAAUUUAGGCACACUUACCAACUCCAAGGUCCCAAUCACGAGUUGUUAUCACCGCCUCGGCACUUUCAGGUAAUAAGGAACUCCGAAAUCGAUCAAUUACCCUUCCGCCAAUAACAUCAUCUGCCCUAUGUCCUUAGACUGACGCUCAGGUUGACUACCAAAUCUCUAGUUUCAGUUUAGUGAUGCUUUUGUAUUACAGAGGAUUACUUUGGCUCCAAUUUCUCUAGUUUCAGUUUCUUUUUUGAGAUGGUUGUUUUGCCUCACAACUGGAUUCUUUAUCUGGGAGCUGUCACGAUGAGUGUUGGUCGUAGCGGCUAGCUGGCUUGAAUUUGGUUGCAAUUGUAAAUUGCUUUCAACUUGCACAGGAAUAGAACGAGAAGGUUGACUACCAAAUCUCGAAGCCUGGAAUGUGGAGUUCUGAUGGUAGAAACCAGCACCCAUGAAUGGUACAGACCUGGUCGGUGGAGAAGAGAAAUAGCCAGACUGGUCUACAGAGACAGGUUGUCCAAUCAAGGCAGGUGGUCCAAACUCCAACCCUGGGCAUUUUGUAUAGUAAGUAUCAGCCGAAAGAGCACCAGGAACACUGCCCAGGUGUGCAAAUAAACUCUUCACGGCGUUCACAAACCCUGUGUUUUCCAUAACCUGCAUUCAACAGGAAACAAAAGAACGUUCUAAUUUGCCCAACAAGUGAACUGAUGGAUGGGGUUUUUCUGAUGUACUAAAUUACAAUUUACCAACCAAGAAACCCUAGUGAUUGCAAAUAAACAAAAACCCAAACUCCAUUCAUGAAAUUAAGCAAAUAAAUUGAUAGAAUUUCAUCUAAUAACCCAAUAAUAUAACAUCAAAUUUCAUCUUCUUACCUAGCCACAGUCCCUUCUUAAUUCAUCAAAUUAAGUACAAAACUAAACUCCAAACAAUCAAUUUUUACACCUGCAAAUAAUCUUUCUAUCUAUGCAAGUAUGCAACUAAAUCAUAACAAAUCAUGAUAAAAAGAAGAAGAACAUCAAUACAAAUCAAUUCAUGCUAUACAAAUCAAUUCAUGCUAUACAGAUCAAGAUCGAAGACCUAGAAAGCAGACGGAGAAGACGAAAGAAUUGUGUCCGUGAACUGAGGCUGCCGCUGCGGACGGAGAAGACGAAAUAAAUAGGAUUUUUUCUGUUUUUAUACCCAUGGCAGGAGAGGAGACACGUAUAGUAAAUGGGAGGGACACGCGGCAGAAGUGAAUGUGCGGGUUAACGGGUUAACCCGUUGUUUUACGGUCCGGACCGGGUUAACCCGUUUCUUGACGGGCCACUAUUUCUCCAACCCGAACCCGGCUUGUUUAGAAACCAGCCGAGCCGGGUUCGGGUUUUCACGGGCCGGGCACGGGUAAACCCACGGGUUUCAGCUCGGUUACCAGCUCUACAUUUAACGAUGGAAUCAUCGACAUCUACCGUAAAAGGUGUAAUACAUAUUGUGGCUUCAAUACCAGUUAUACACCGAUACCUACAUAUAUACAAGGAAAAGUAUCAAUUGGUUCGAAAA